RNAcentral lists this ribosomal RNA (246 nucleotides) under uncultured bacterium. RNAcentral describes it as "partial 16S ribosomal RNA". It matches the Rfam family "Bacterial small subunit ribosomal RNA", at positions 523 to 769 of the family's 1533-position model. The record is from RNAcentral.
AUACGUAGGGGACGAGCGUUGUCCGGAAUUACUGGGCGUAAAGGGCGCGCAGGCUGUUUGACAAGUCAGCUGUUAAAUAUGGGGGCUUAACCCUUAUAUGCGGUUGAAACUAUCAGACUGGAGUGCUGUAGAGGCAAGUGGAAUUCCCAGUGUAGCGGUGAAAUGCGUAGAUAUUGGGAAGAACACCGGUGGCGAAGGCGACUUGCUGGGCAGCAACUGACGCUGAGGCGCGAAGGCGUGGGGAGC